UCAAAUGUUUUUCGCAUAGGGUGGACUCCUAGGCAUCUAGAGAAGAUGAAGGGCGUUAAGUGUUUGCGAAAAGCUUAGUAUGUAAUUAAUACAUUGUUUUUUAUGUUUAAUGAUCACUAAGAUUCCCGAAUGGGGAAACCCAAAAAAGAUUAUUUUUAAUUUUUUUUAUUUUCUUCUGAAUUCAUAAAGAAGAAAAAUAUAACUCAGUGAACUGAACCAUCUUAGUAACUGAAGGAAAAGAAAGCAAAAGCGAUUUUCUUAGUAGUGGUGAGCGAAAAGGAAAAAGUCUUGAGAGUGAAAUAUUUCUUUUUUAAAUGAAAUAAUUUAAUAUUAUACCAUAGAUGGUAAAAGUCCAGUAAUUGAAAAAAAGAAAACAUAAUGAACUCUCUUUAUAUUAUUUUCAUGGUAAUAUAAAAAAAGUAGCAUGGUAGUUACCCCUUGUGAAGAAGUAAGAACCACCUUAUAAGACUAAAUACUCCUAGAUGACCGAUAGUGAACAAGUACCGUGAGGGAAAGGUGAAAAGUAAUCGUAGAAGAUAAUGAAAUAGUAACGAAACCCUAUGCUUUCAAUCAGUGGGAGAUUUUUUAAAAUUGACCGCGUGCCUGUUGAAGAAUGAGCCAGCGAGUUAAAAAAAGUGGCUUUUGGUUAAAGAGUCAUCUCUGAAGCCCUAGCGAAAGCAAGUUUUAUCCGAGCUCUUGUCAUUUUUUUUAGACCCGAAACCGAGUGAUCUACCUAUGACCAGGGGAAAUAGGCCCGAACCGACUAAUAGUGCAAAAUUAGCGGAUGAGUUGUGGGUAGGGGCGAAAAACCAAUCGAACUCGGAGUUAGCUGGUUCUCCCCGAAAUGCGUUUAGGCGCAGCAAUAAAAUAAAGUAAUGAAGGGGUAAAGCACUGUUUCAUUUGGGGGCUUCGAAAGUUGUACCUCGGUGUGGCAAACUCUGAAUACUUCGUUAAUAUUUUUUAUUAGUGAGACUUUGGGGGAUAAGCUCCAUAGUCAAAAGGGGAACAGCCCAGACCACCAGUUAAGGCCCCAAAAUGAGAAUGCUAGUGACAAAGGUCGUGAAUCUGCCAUAACUUCCAGGAGGUUCGCUUAGAAGCAGCAGUCCUUUAAAGAGUGCGUAACAGCUCACUGAUUAUUUGAAGACUUUUUGGCUUCAUUUUUGUUAUAAUAUGUAUUAGUUUUAGUAUAAUAAAAUUAAUAUGUAUAAAGUAUAUCUAUAAAUAUAGAUAGAAAUUACAGCGUUUUUGCGUCGAUAAUUCACGGGACUUAAUUUUCUGCCGAAACUGUGGGAAUAAGAAAAACAAACAAAAGUCUUAUUCGGUAGGGGAGCGUUCUGCUAUUUUUAGCAGAAGUGAGAAUGUUGGCUUAAGUAACGAAAACAUUGGUGAGAAUCCAAUGCCCCGAAACCCCAAGGUUUCCUCCAAUAAGGUUCGUCCGUGGAGGGUUAGUCAAGACCUAAGAUUAGGCUGAAAGGCGUCAUCGAUGGAAAAAAAGUUAAUAUUCUUUUACUUUUUCUAGUAAUAUGUAAAAAAGAGGGACGGAGCAAAAAAAAUAAUUAAUGGAUUUUAUUUUGUUUUAUUUUUUUAGUUUGCAACUUAUAUUUUUUGAAAAAAAACAAAGAAUAUGAACAAAGAUUUCUGCUAAAAAAUGGAUUAAAAAAAAAAUAAUUUCUUACUUUCUUUUAAGUAUAGAAUGUUAUUUUUUGUUUUAUUUUUUAGAUAUUGAGUUAAAUAUAAAAAUGCUUCCAAGAAAAGCUCUUAAUUUUGCGAAAUAAUUUAAUUAUUAUUAUUAAAUUAUUUAAUUACAGAAAAACUUGUACCAGAAACCGACACAGGUGGGGAAGUAGAAUAUACUAAGGGGCGCGAGAUAAUUCUCUUUAAGGAACUCGGCAAAAUAGCUCUGUAACUUUGGAAGAAAGAGUGCCUCAAUUGAGGCCGCAGUGAAGAGGCUCGACCAACUGUUUACCAAAAACACAGGUUUCCGCCAAGUCGUAAAGACGAUGUAUGGGAGCUGACGCCUGCCCAGUGCCAGUUGGUUAAUUAUACAGGUUAGAAUUAAUUUAUUUUUCGAAGCUUGUAGACAAAGCCUUGGUGAACGGCGGCUGUAACUAUGACAGUCCUAAGGUAGCGAAAUUCCUUGUCAGGUAAGUUCUGACCCGCACGAAUGGCGUAAUGAGUCGAGCACUGUCUCAAAGAGAAACUCGGUGAACUAGACAUAUCCGUGAAGAUGCGGAUUACUUACACCAGGACAAUAAGACCCUAGAAGCUUUACUAUAGUCUGAAAUUGUACGAUCUUCUGAAAUAUGCAGGUAUGUGGGAGACAAUAAACUUGAAAAAGGAUGUCGUAAGUGAGAGACCACUUUUUUCUAUGAGAAAGUUCUGAAAAUAUUCCUUGAAUCAGGGUAUUUGACAGUUUUUGACGGGUAGUUUACCUGGGGUAGGUGCCUCCUAAAAGGUAACGGAGGUAUACAAAGAUUCUCUUAAGUUGUUUGGAAAUCAACUGAUCAAGUAUAAAGGCAUAAGUGAAUUUGACUAUAAGACUGAAACGUCGAAUAGGGGCGAAAGCCUGUCUUAAUGAUCCGAUAGUACUGUGUGGAAAGGCUAUCGCUCAAUUGAUAAAAGUUACUCUAGGGAUAACAGGCUGAUCUUCCCCAAGAGUCCAUAUCGACGGGAAGGUUUGGCACCUCGAUGUCGGCUCAUCGCAUCCUGGGGCGGUAGGAGGUCCCAAGGGUUGGGCUGUUCGCCCAUUAAAGCGGUACGUGAGCUGGGUUUAGAACGUCGCAAGACAGUUUGGUUCAUAUCCGGUGUGAGCGUUAGAGCAUUGAGAGAAGUCUUUGAUAGUACGAGAGGACUUCAAAGGACAUACCUCUAGUGUACCAGUUCUUAUGCCAAUAGGAUACGCUGGGUAGCUACGUAUGGAGUCAAUAAUCACUGAAUGCAUUUAAGUGAGAAGUGGGCCUCAAGAUGAAUGCUCUCAAAAAGGUUACGGAAAGAAAAACCGGUAAAUAGGUGUUAUGUGUAAGAUCCGUGAUGAUUUAAGCUGAGACAUACUAAACAACCGAGAGAUUUUGAUCC
This 3075-nucleotide ribosomal RNA is filed under the name Prototheca stagnorum. RNAcentral's name for it is "23S ribosomal RNA". It matches the Rfam family "Bacterial large subunit ribosomal RNA". Lineage: Eukaryota; Viridiplantae; Chlorophyta; Trebouxiophyceae; Chlorellales; Chlorellaceae. The record is from RNAcentral.